CCUACGGGUGGCUGCAGUGGGAAAUAUUGGACAAUGGGGGCAACCCUGAUCCAGCCAUGCCGCGUGUGUGAAGAAGGCCCUCGGGUUGUAAAGCACUUUCAGUGAGGAAGAACGCCUGGUGGUUAAUACCCAUCAGGAAAGACAUCACUCACAGAAGAAGCACCGGCUAACUCCGUGCCAGCAGCCGCGGUAAUACGGAGGGUGCGAGCGUUAAUCGGAAUUACUGGGCGUAAAGCGCGCGUAGGUGGCUUGAUAAGCCGGUUGUGAAAGCCCCGGGCUCAACCUGGGAACGGCAUCCGGAACUGUCAAGCUAGAGUGCAGGAGAGGAAGGUAGAAUUCCCGGUGUAGCGGUGAAAUGCGUAGAGAUCGGGAGGAAUACCAGUGGCGAAGGCGGCCUUCUGGACUGACACUGACACUGAGGUGCGAAAGCGUGGGUAGCAAACAGGAUUAGAUACCCCAGUAGUC
This 465-nucleotide ribosomal RNA is filed under the name Vreelandella stevensii. RNAcentral describes it as "partial 16S ribosomal RNA". It matches the Rfam family "Bacterial small subunit ribosomal RNA", at positions 338 to 795 of the family's 1533-position model. The record is from RNAcentral. Lineage: Bacteria; Pseudomonadati; Pseudomonadota; Gammaproteobacteria; Oceanospirillales; Halomonadaceae.